GGGACACCGAGUGCCAGCAUCAUAUGUUGGCUGUCCAGAUGUGUAAAAUACAUCUGUUAGCAAGGGCCGGGCAAGACCGGUGCCAGCCGCCGCGGUAACACCGGCGGCCCGAGUGGUGAUCGUGAUUAUUGGGUCUAAAGGGUCCGUAGCCGGUUUGGUCAGUCCUCCGGGAAAUCUGACGGCUCAACCGUUAGGCUUUCGGUGGAUACUGCCAGACUUGGAACCGGGANAGGUAAGAGGUACUACAGGGGUAGGAGUGANNNNUGUAAUCCA
RNAcentral lists this ribosomal RNA (273 nucleotides) under uncultured archaeon. RNAcentral's name for it is "partial 16S rRNA". It matches the Rfam family "Archaeal small subunit ribosomal RNA", at positions 375 to 649 of the family's 1478-position model. The record is from RNAcentral.